RNAcentral lists this ribosomal RNA (253 nucleotides) under uncultured Flavobacterium sp. Its description in RNAcentral is "partial 16S ribosomal RNA". It matches the Rfam family "Bacterial small subunit ribosomal RNA", at positions 524 to 776 of the family's 1533-position model. Lineage: Bacteria; Pseudomonadati; Bacteroidota; Flavobacteriia; Flavobacteriales; Flavobacteriaceae. The record is from RNAcentral.
UACGUAGGUGGCGAGCGUUAUCCGGAAUCAUUGGGUUUAAAGGGUCCGUAGGCGGUUUGGUAAGUCAGUGGUGAAAGCCCAUCGCUCAACGGUGGAACGGCCAUUGAUACUGCCAGACUUGAAUUAUUAGGAAGUAACUAGAGUAUGUAGUGUAGCGGUGAAAUGCUUAGAGAUUACAUGGAAUACCAAUUGCGAAGGCAGGUUACUACUAAUGGAUUGACGCUGAUGGACGAAAGCGUGGGUAGCGAACAGG